UCAACAGCCCCUCAACAGUCCCUCAACGGCAAACUUCGUCCGGAGGAACGUAUCCUAAAAAUUCAGAUACUCGUGUCCGGAAUGUCGGAUACACAUAUCAGUUAGUCAACUAACGUAUCCGAUGCGUAUCGGACCGUAUCCGAACAAGUAUCCGAUACGUGAUACGCCAAUUUAAAUUUUAUUUUGUUAAGAAUUGUUUCCAGUUUUUGAAAUUUGCCCCUCAUUCUAAAAUGUUUUCUUUGACUACCCAUUUUCCCAAAAUCGAAUCUUUGCCUCUCAAACACUGCGAAUCCGGGUGAAAUUUUGAAGAAAAAGGAACUUGGUUGUCCAGAAAACCAUGAAACAAAGCAUUUUGAGCAUAUACAAUAGGUUUUGAGCGGCCCUGAUCAUGCACAGACCUAUAGCGAGGGUUCCAUUGCGGUCAAUUGCAGAUUCUCUUUUAAAGUCACAACCAGAGUACCAUG
This is a non-coding RNA of Prunus avium (sweet cherry), 464 nucleotides long. The record is from RefSeq and is a predicted model, not a curated record. NCBI's taxonomy places the organism in Eukaryota, Viridiplantae, Streptophyta, Magnoliopsida, Rosales, Rosaceae.